GAUGAACGCUGGCGGCGUGCCUAAUACAUGCAAGUCGAGCGAACAGACGAGGAGCUUGCUCCUCUGACGUUAGCGGCGGACGGGUGAGUAACACGUGGAUAACCUACCUAUAAGACUGGGAUAACUUCGGGAAACCGGAGCUAAUACCGGAUAACAUGUUGAACCGCAUGGUUCAACAGUGAAGGACGGUCUUGCUGUCACUUAUAGAUGGAUCCGCGCCGCAUUAGCUAGUUGGUAAGGUAACGGCUUACCAAGGCAACGAUGCGUAGCCGACCUGAGAGGGUGAUCGGCCACACUGGAACUGAGACACGGUCCAGACUCCUACGGGAGGCAGCAGUAGGGAAUCUUCCGCAAUGGGCGAAAUCCUGACGGAGCAACGCCGCGUGAGUGAAGAAGGUCUUCGGAUCGUAAAACUCUGUUAUUAGGGAAGAACAAAUGUGUAAGUAACUAUGCACGUCUUGACGGUACCUAAUCAGAAAGCCACGGCUAACUACGU
Molecule: ribosomal RNA, 496 nt
Filed under: uncultured bacterium
Lineage: Bacteria
Description: partial 16S ribosomal RNA
Rfam family: Bacterial small subunit ribosomal RNA
Source: RNAcentral